This 1307-nucleotide long non-coding RNA is filed under the name Ananas comosus (pineapple). RNAcentral describes it as "long non-coding RNA (ACOM_LNC019127)". Lineage: Eukaryota; Viridiplantae; Streptophyta; Magnoliopsida; Poales; Bromeliaceae. The record is from RNAcentral.
UAUAUAUAUAUAUAUAUAUAUAUAUAUAUAUAGAGAGAGAGAGAGAGAGAGAGAGAGAGAGAGAGAGAGAGAGAGAGAGAGAGAGAGUUGAGCUGGUAUACUAUCAGUAGUAAACGAGUUUCGUUGUCGCCCAUUUAUUUUCGAUGAUUGAGCUUCCAAAUCGACGAUCGGUAUUAUUUAAUAUGAUUUAUACCAUUUGAAAUAUUUAGAAACCAAAUUUCAAAUAUUUUCGACAUUAUUGAUCUAAUGAUCAAAUUACGGGUUUCAAAAUUUAUAAUUUUAAUGAUCGAUAUGAGACGUUUUUUCAUUUAACGAUGUAAAGAUAUUCAAAUCAAUUGAAUUUUGGUUAAAAAUUUUUUUAAACUAUUUAGAACAAGAUCAAUACGCUCAAUUUUGAUUAUAAGAUUCCUAUCAUCACUUUUUAAAGGAUAUUCAUUCUCGGCUAUUUAUUUUUGUAUCAACUUAAUAGGCAAGAGAACAACAUCAGAAAAGCAUGAAAUUUAAUUUCUAGAUGCUUCAAGUGUUAUAGAUCAUGUUCAACGAUGCCGAUCAUCGAUUUGGAGGCUUCAUCAUAAAAAAUAAAUGGGUGGCAAAAUAGCCCGUUUGCUACCGAUAGCAUGCCAGCGCAACUAUAUAUAUAUAUAUAUAUAGAGAGAGAGAGAGAGAGAGAGAGAGAGAGAGAGAGAGAGAGAGAGAGUUGAGCUGAAAUACUAUUAAUCGUAUUUGGCUCUUUUACUAUCAAUUUUUAACCAUUAGAUUUACACUUUAAUCAAUUUUACUCUUUAGAUUAUACUAUUCAAUCAGCCACCUACUCAAUUCCAGAGGAAUCACCACUAAAUCUUAGGAGACCACUAUCAUUCUAAUCCUAUAAUUUUUAAACCAAGGGUUAAAAACUCGAUAGCAAAUGAGCUCAAACACUAUUAAUAAUAUUUCAGCCCAAUUAUAUAUAUAGAGAGAGAGAGAGUUGUGCUGGUAUGCUUAUGGAAGCACGGAGGCCUUCGUGCUUCCAAGUUGUUUUCGAUGUUCGGACUUUCGAAUCGACGAUCGGCUCCGUUAGAGUUGAUCUAGAGCAUUUGAAGUAUCUAGAAAAUAAAUUUUGCGAUUUGUCGAUAUCAUUUGCCUAGUGAUCGAAAGGGCUCAAAAUCAAUAAUUUUAAUGGCCGUGGUGAGCCGGUUGCAAGUUUAACAGUGCAGAAAUAUCCAAAUCACAUAAAAUUUUGAUAGAAAAUUCUUUAUACCAUAUAAAACAAGAUCAAUAACUUUGAUCUAAAAUUUUAAUGUCAUAUCAUCAUAUUUUGUAAGAUUUUU